RNAcentral lists this ribosomal RNA (468 nucleotides) under uncultured bacterium. RNAcentral describes it as "partial 16S ribosomal RNA". It matches the Rfam family "Bacterial small subunit ribosomal RNA", at positions 28 to 507 of the family's 1533-position model. The record is from RNAcentral.
GACGAACGCUGGCGGCGUGCUUAACACAUGCAAGUCGAACGGAAAGGCCCUGCUUUUGUGGGGUGCUCGAGUGGCGAACGGGUGAGUAACACGUGAGUAACCUGCCCUUGACUUUGGGAUAACUUCAGGAAACUGGGGCUAAUACCGGAUAGGAGCUCCUGCUGCAUGGUGGGGGUUGGAAAGUUUCGGCGGUUGGGGAUGGACUCGCGGCUUAUCAGCUUAUUGGUGGGGUAGUGGCUUACCAAGGCUUUGACGGGUAGCCGGCCUGAGAGGGUGACCGGCCACAUUGGGACUGAGAUACGGCCCAGACUCCUACGGGAGGCAGCAGUGGGGAAUAUUGCACAAUGGGCGGAAGCCUGAUGCAGCAACGCCGCGUGCGGGAUGACGGCCUUCGGGUUGUAAACCGCUUUCGCCUGUGACGAAGCGUGAGUGACGGUAAUGGGUAAAGAAGCACCGGCUAACUACGUG